GUGCACUCUGGUCUUUAAAAAUAAAAGAAUAUUUUAAUAUCUUGGAUUAAAUACUCAAACUUAAUGACUGCAAUCUUUUGAUGUACACAGAAUGAGAAGUCGUCUCUCCAGGAUGUCCCACAGGUUCAGGUCAGUGGACUGGAGGACCACAGCAGUGCUUGGCCAAUUAUCUCUUUACAAUGAAUGUAAAAUGAUGAAUGAUUAUUUAUUGCAAAUGUCAUUUGAUGUGAUUCCUGCCAAAGUUGCAUGUCUGUUCUGACCAGAAGCCACAGGUCACAAUCAUAACCACCUACUACUCUGUCCACUGUGGGUGGUAAUGCCUUGUGUGAGGUAUUCUUGAUACACAAUUAUUAAACAUGAUAAUUCAUGUCACCUUGGCAUGAGCACACCUAACCACAUGUACAGAUCUGGGUGUUCCCAAGCCAUUUCUGUUCUUGAUUGAUUUACAUACUGCUAUCCCAUGACUUUUGGCAUAUCACUGUAAGUACACUGCUUACUGCCCAGAAAAAAUAGCUUUACAUAAAAAACAUUCUCAGAUAAUAUAUGUCAUUUGCACACUGUAUUAGGUAUUAUGCAUUUAUCCUGGUGUAGCAAAUAAGAGGCCAUGAAACAAUUACUACAGAGCAUGAUUCAUUUAACUAUUUCUAUUUUACUGAGUUACAGGAGUUACCGGGGGAACGAGCCUAGAGUGCAUAUGACCGCUAAGCCAAACAACCAUGUCAGUGCUGUGUCAGGAAAUGCAGGAUUCUCCAAACCUCGCUUUCCAUCUCCAAAGAGUGAACACAAGACCUACAGCAAAUCUCUGGAUACAUGCUCAGCAAACUACGAUGAGGACGAUUACACCAAUGUGGGGGACUUGAGCAUAUAUGGGAAUGUCUGAUGAUAGAUUAUAGAGAAGAUCGGAUCAGCCUCUUUUUGUAUUGCUUUGAUCUCAUUUGAUUAUGUCGGGACAUAUGUACAGUUCUGAUUUCCAAUCACACUUAAUUAGGUUUCAGCAGCAACAUAACAAACACAUCUUUUAUCAUUUUCACCUUGAGUCACAUAUUAAACUUAGCAGUGUCUUAUUUUGAAAGAGAGCUAUCACUAACCUUUUCUGCUCGGAUUUGACAGUAAAGACUAUUUUUUAAGGCAAGGCACUGCAGGUGAAUUUGAAUUUUUUGUGUUACAAAUAUUUUGCAAUUGUAUGUUUAGAUAUGCAAAGAAGGUCAUAUCUAACCAAAUAUGCAUAAAUCUGCAUGCAUUUUAAGUAGACACGUUCUGUUUUAAAUUAUCUUUUCAGUUCGUUGACAUAUUAGAAUUAAACUUACUAGGGUAAUUUUGGGAUUUCUCUUUUUCAGCACUCCAGUAAUCAAAAAAAAACCAGUGUUCAUCAAGUUUGUGCAUUAAAUCUAAGUCAGGCAGUAAUGUACAGCGCAAAUGUAUAACUUAUAGGGAUAAAAUGUAAAUAUAGAAAUAUGUAGUAUAUAUAAAUGACAAUUUGACUGAAGGCUGAGAGUUUGAAAAAAAAAAACAUUUUAGUAAAACAGCCUUAAUCUGUACUGUACCAUAUUUUUGCACUAUAAGGUGCACUUUAAAAUCAUUUAAUUUUCCCAAAAAUCGUCAGUGCAUCUUAUAUAUAACCCUGUGUGCAUUAUGUAUGUAUUAUUUUUUUUUAACAGUCGGGUUGUAAGGAGCAGUAAAGUCACUUCACUGAAGUACAGUGUUAUACAGGAGUUUCAGGUUAGUUUUUCAACACAGAGCCUCGAGACUGGAGCAGCAUUAGGAUUAGCCCCUAAAUUUAAGCUCUAGCUCUUUUGUUAUACAGAGGCGAGUAUUAUUGACCUUUAGCCUGCUGCUAAUCCCGGCCAAUAAUAACACGUCAAUGUAUUAUGUGAUUAAUUUAUAGCACACAACUAAUCAUUACAUAUUUUUAUAUAGGCUUAUCAGGCAGCAAACACAUUGUUGUAUAUUGUUGACAAGUUACUAACAGCUUAUUUCUUAUUACACACAUCUUGUUGCAACCAUAUAAUUCAUAAUGUUGCUAUGGAGUAAUAAGUAGCAGAAUAAGGAUCAAAAUAAGAAUCUAAGAUUCUUGGUUUGAGUAUUUAUCUUAAAUGUAAUAUUUUUGUUGUUAGUAAAAAAAAUUUAUACUGUAAAAUAUCUCAAGUAAAAACUGUAUGCAGAAGUCAUAAUUUUUUGGUUUUAUAUUUUAAGUAUAGAUAAUAAUAAUAAUAAAGGAAAGUAUAUAUGUAUGUAGAUAGCA
RNAcentral lists this long non-coding RNA (2242 nucleotides) under Astyanax mexicanus (Mexican tetra). RNAcentral describes it as "lncRNA (ENSAMXG00005016174.1)". The record is from RNAcentral. Lineage: Eukaryota; Metazoa; Chordata; Actinopteri; Characiformes; Acestrorhamphidae.